AUAUCAAUGUAGAACCAAUUGUUCAUAUUCACACCGGGAGCUAUUUCACAUUUGGCCUGGACUAUGAAAUCUCAAUGCAUACUAGGCAUUGUUUUCAUGCAGAAACCCCUCUUCAUCCUGAUGAAAUUGUGAAUGUUUAGCUCUACAGGUGGAGAUUUUGUUUAAUGUGUGUUAACAGACUCUCUAACAAUGAUAAUUGAACGAGCCAUUGGAAAGAUGAGUUUCUGUGAAAAUUGCUAAAUUUCUUCUGAUGUUACCAAAGAUCAGCUUCCUCAAGAAAUUGCUUAGUUACUUGUGAUAUUACCAAAGCUUGCAGUUGGAGAAGUCCCUAGUGGUGGGUUAUGAUGUUGAAGGCAUGAUUACUCCACAAGGGAAGCACAAGUCGAAAUUCAGAAAGGAGCAGGGCAUUUACCUUAUAUUGAAUAGCAUAUGAUGUAAAUGGAAAAUAAUCCCCUCGAUUUAAAUGAGGAGGCUCUCAUACAUCAAAUUGGUGUCUCGCUUGGCGGUGACUUAAAAAGCCACCUUCAUCUUUAUCAUUAUCAAAUACAUAAAUGUGGCUUGAAUUUUACAAUACUUUUCCAAAUAUAAAAAGUUGUUGGCUUGAUUGAUUUUGAUGUGAAUGUUGCUUGGAUUGUGCAUUCUGUUUUCUUAAUAUUUUUUUGCACAAUGCAUCUGAAAUGUUUUUGGUGGGAAAGCAAAACUAUAGAAACGUUUGAAUUUCAUUAUCAUAUUGGUAUUGAUGGUUCUGAUGUCCAUAAGAUUCCUUCUCCGAAAUUUACCUCAGCAAUGUGCAUACUGUUUUUAUAGCAUGGGUUUAAAGCAAGAUGCUGAUUUGUUGAUAUUGACUACAUGGAAGCAAAGCCAUCAACAGGUUUUAGAAGUAUGUUUAGACGACUGGGGUUCAAAGGCUUGCAUAUAACCAUUUAUUGAAGUGAUCUGCUCACGGUCAUAAAAGGAAUCAAUGUACUAAAAGAGAGAAUCAUGGUUUAAAAGAUGUCCUAUAAAGGAGAGAAGCCGCUGAAGAAAUGACAUUCUGUGUCUAAUGUAAACGCUACUAUUUUCCAAUAAUGCUAGCAGUGGUUUUCAAUGUUCCAACUUUCAGACUAGGUGCUUAUUUGUCAGUGGUUUCUAGGGAUGCAAUCACUACAUCAAUAAGAAUAUUUGUAUUUCUGUACAUGAGAAUCAAUUAGUAUGACAUAAGCAGGUGGUGAAGUAUUGUCAGCCAAUGGGCAAUGCUAUUUGCCUGUCCCGAUAUUAUCAUUGUUAUCAUUGAGAGAAUGAUACUCUCAAAUGCUGAGUUGAAACAUUAUCAUUCAGAUUCUCUCAAAUACUGAAUUGAAUUAACAAAUACUAGAAACACACCACCAAUCCCUCUCACACAAGCAUUGCACAGAGAGAAUCAGAGAGAUUUUUCUGAGGCUUCAACAUCAGAGGACAAGCAGCCGAAUCUGCAUCAGGGUUAGCUUCAAAAGCUUUCAAAGAAGGAAAAGGGUCACUCUCUGAAUUUUUUAGGAUUCUCAUCUUCAGGACCAUUGUAAAUGACAUCUUGGACAAUAGAUGUGUGCAACACCUAAAAAAUAACAGAUUUGUUUUCCAAACUGCCCUGCCACCAUUUGGCAGGAACUACGCUGCAUUGCAGCCCUUGUUAAUUUAGUGAUGCAGAUUUAAAAUGAAUAUAAAUUUGUUUAUUGUUGCAUUCAA
Cryptomeria japonica (Japanese cedar) is the source of this 1701-nucleotide long non-coding RNA. RefSeq lists it as uncharacterized. The record is from RefSeq and is a predicted model, not a curated record. The transcript is spliced from 4 exons. Lineage: Eukaryota; Viridiplantae; Streptophyta; Pinopsida; Cupressales; Cupressaceae.